RNAcentral lists this small nuclear RNA (190 nucleotides) under Maylandia zebra (zebra mbuna). Its description in RNAcentral is "U2 spliceosomal RNA (ENSMZEG00005025860.1)". It matches the Rfam family "U2 spliceosomal RNA". From Rfam's summary of the family: U2 is a small nuclear RNA (snRNA) component of the spliceosome (involved in pre-mRNA splicing). Complementary binding between U2 snRNA (in an area lying towards the 5' end but 3' to hairpin I) and the branchpoint sequence (BPS) of the intron results the bulging out of an unpaired adenosine, on the BPS, which initiates a nucleophilic attack at the intronic 5' splice site, thus starting the first of two transesterification reactions that mediate splicing. Lineage: Eukaryota; Metazoa; Chordata; Actinopteri; Cichliformes; Cichlidae. The record is from Rfam by way of RNAcentral.
AUCGCUUCUCGGCCUUUUGGCUAAGAUCAAGUGUAGUAGCUGUUCUUAUCAGUUUAAUAUCUGAUACGCCCCCGAUUUGGGGCAACGUAUUAAACGCAUUUUUAGAACAGGGAGCCGAAUAAGGGGCUCGCUCCGUUCGCUCCACGCAUCGACCCGGUAUUGCAGCGCCUCCGGGAACGGUGCCCCCUUU